RNAcentral lists this ribosomal RNA (253 nucleotides) under uncultured bacterium. Its description in RNAcentral is "partial 16S ribosomal RNA". It matches the Rfam family "Bacterial small subunit ribosomal RNA", at positions 524 to 776 of the family's 1533-position model. The record is from RNAcentral.
GACGAACCGUACGAACGUUAUUCGGAAUCACUGGGCUUAAAGGGUGCGUAGGCGGCGCGACAAGUUGGGUGUGAAAUCCCUCGGCUCAACCGAGGAACUGCGCCCAAAACUGUCGUGCUCGAGGGAGACAGAGGUGAGCGGAACUUAGGGUGGAGCGGUGAAAUGCGUUGAUAUCCUAAGGAACACCGGUGACGAAAGCGGCUCACUGGGUCUCUUCUGACGCUGAGGCACGAAAGCUAGGGUAGCGAACGGG